UGGGUGUUAGCAGUUGAUUUUGCCUGGACUUCUAGACUCUUUUCUAAUGCACUGAGUUUUUUUUUAUUAUUAUUAUUGUAGCCUGGUGGGUUGUUUACUAUAGGAUUAAACCUUGGAUUUGGCUGGUUGAAGCUGGGUCAGCCUGUAUUAGGACUUUGUGAUCAGAAAAUAUUGGGAUGGUUCCUCCACCUUAGAUUGUAAGUUGGUGCAUAGGGGUCAUUAAUAAGUUUCUGAUAGGUUGCAU
RNAcentral lists this long non-coding RNA (244 nucleotides) under Elaeis guineensis (African oil palm). Its description in RNAcentral is "long non-coding RNA (EGUI_LNC053277)". The record is from RNAcentral. Lineage: Eukaryota; Viridiplantae; Streptophyta; Magnoliopsida; Arecales; Arecaceae.